This 70-nucleotide transfer RNA is filed under the name Dryoscopus gambensis. It matches the Rfam family "tRNA". From Rfam's summary of the family: Transfer RNA (tRNA) molecules are approximately 80 nucleotides in length. Their secondary structure includes four short double-helical elements and three loops (D, anti-codon, and T loops). The record is from Rfam by way of RNAcentral. Lineage: Eukaryota; Metazoa; Chordata; Aves; Passeriformes; Malaconotidae. RNAcentral also lists the same sequence under 1 other name.
ACUCUAAUAGUUUAGAAAAAACAUUGGUCUUGUAAACCAAAGAUCGAAGACCGCACAUCUUCUUAGAGUA